GAGUUGUCUCUCACCAACAAUGCGUCUGCUGCCAUUGAUUGCCGUGCUUUGUCUGGUGUUGGUGACCACUGAAGGUGGCAGGUGUCGCAAAUUCGGCAAGGCGUGUGGAAAAUGGAACAGGGAUGUCUGCCGCUGGUGUUGGAGACCUCACAAGCGUCUCUGCUGUCUUCCGGGCGACACAUACGGUGAAUGCGGGAGAAAAUGCAGUUUCCCCAAACACCUGUAGCACACUAAACGGCAAACUGUCACAAAGGAUGGUGCUGCGUAUACUGCAAAGGAAAACAUUGCAGGAAAGGCUAGCUGCACCACUUGCUGCCGGCUGCCGCUGUCGUCAAGGGAUGGAUGACGACUGCACUGACACCAGAUGUGAAAGUGACUGCAUGCACAAGGAAGACCCAUGCUAUGUUGGUGGCGUAACAGCAAGGUCGUACGUAGUUCUCAACAGGUGUUUAUGCGCAACCGGACAUUUAGCUACUUGUAGUUGGGCUUUACGUUGAAUACAAUUACGGA
RNAcentral lists this long non-coding RNA (510 nucleotides) under Pollicipes pollicipes. Its description in RNAcentral is "uncharacterized LOC119113713". The record is from RNAcentral. Lineage: Eukaryota; Metazoa; Arthropoda; Thecostraca; Pollicipedomorpha; Pollicipedidae.